RNAcentral lists this ribosomal RNA (253 nucleotides) under uncultured bacterium. Its description in RNAcentral is "partial 16S ribosomal RNA". It matches the Rfam family "Bacterial small subunit ribosomal RNA", at positions 524 to 776 of the family's 1533-position model. The record is from RNAcentral.
UACGGGGGGGGCAAGCGUUGUUCGGAAUUACUGGGCGUAAAGGGUUCGUAGGUGGCUUGUUAAGUCAGACGUGAAAUCCCUCGGCUCAACCGGGGAACUGCGUCUGAGACUGAUGGACUCGAGUGCAGGAGAGGAACGCGGAAUUCCAGGUGUAGCGGUGAAAUGCGUAGAUAUUGGGAGGAACACCAGUGGCGAAGGCGGCUCACUGGACCGGAACUGACGCUGAGGCGCGAAAGCGUGGGGAGCAAACGGG